UGCGACGGAGUGAACGAGUUUUACGUUUUAGUAACAGUUCUUCUUCUCCGAUCGAACAGCAUAGAAACUCAGCCGACUCUCAUCAAUCAAUACCGUUCUUUACUUCCAUCAAUCAUUUUAUUCUUAAUGAUUUCGUUUCGCCUCCCUCUUUUCCUCCUCUUUUAUAUACCCAUAUUCUUUUCUUUCAACAAACUACAUCCGGCUUUUCUGAUAUCAGUAAAUAUAUCCAUUCGGCUUCACAUUUUGUUAAUCUAUUGCAACCUUCCCUGGUAGUCAUUUUCUCCAACCAUGUUGUUGGUGAUUUCAAUUUAAGCUCAGCUUGGUCGUGUCGAGGAAGAGACUAAAGGCAUCGUCUUGAUCCGUGAGAAGCUUUGGCUGAUCACGAGUGAAAAGAAGUUGCUUUUGUCAGGAAGAAGAUUGAUCCUGUCAACAAAGAAUUCUCAACAAGCCAAUCUGUAAAGCUACCACCAGCAGCAGAGAAUCCUCAAGCUGAUCUAGAAAAGGUGAAACGGGUAUCACAGUUUAACAAUCAAGGUUUGUGUCUACUCUAUUAAUUUUCAUUAUUUGUUCUGCUCAAAAUAAUUUCAUUCGAUUCCUUAUGAUGUUAGCUUGAUUGUUUAAAAAAAACUGCAAGGUCAUAUCAUUGUUUUCCAUCCACAUAAUCUCCUUUUUUUUACAUAAUCUCCUUUCUAUUUAAGCAAGAAGUCAGACAUGGAAAUAAGAUCAAAAGGAAUGUUAGUUUAGAAGCGUAACCAGUGUUCCGUUCCUGUCGGAGCGCCGCCACCGAGGACCAUAGUCAGAAUCAAGUAUAGUUCUGUCUACCAUGAGAUCAAUAUCAGUCCUCAAGCUUCAUUUGGCAGGGGAAUAACUUAAAGAAUUGUAAUAUAUAUGAUUUAAGUUUAACUGAAAGCUUUUUGGUAACCCACUACUUCAUCUUUAUUGCUUCUUAUCUUCCUUUUCAAGGACGCUGACGGAGUAUAUAAUUAGACAGUCUGAGAGUCUUCACAUGCAUUCAUAUGGUACUUCAAUCAUAGAACCCUAGAUAUCUCUCAGCACUCUCCAAGAAGUGAUUCAUUUCUCUGAGCUAAAGGUUUUUGUAUCAUGAUUUUGAAGUACAAUGGUGGAAAGCUGAGAGAUGAGACCAAGCUUAAAAGUGCUGUCCAGAUGCAAGACCUAUUAGAUGCGCAAGAAUGUUAGGUCCCAAAACAAGGGCUGGGACCGUGUUCUGAUAGUGUCCAUGUUAGUAUGCCUGUCAACAGCACUGGACUCGGUGCUGACAUUGAACCUCCUGUAACCAGUACCGGUCUCCCUGGUGUGGCCAUGGAUGAAGGCAUCCGAUGCAAUCACAGUUGAGGGAGGUAGCCCCUCUGAAAAGAAGCCACUUAAUGUCAAAAACUUCCAUGUUAGUAUGCCUGUCAACAGCACUGGACUCGGUGCUGACAUUGAACCUCCUGUAACCAGUACCGGUCUCCCUGGUGUGGCCAUGGAUGAAGGCAUCCGAUGCAAUCACAGUUGAGGGAGGUAGCCCCUCUGCAAAGAAGCCACUUAAUGUCAAAAACUCAACCAACAGACAUCAUUACGCAUAAGUGGAAAUAAACGGAAGGAGGCAUGGCGAGCCAGCUACCACUGCAAUUCAACUAGAGUUAUUAUGACAAAAAAUCAUUCAAAUUGCAAACCAGCAUUUAAAAAAAGACUAUGCUCUUUUAGAAAAAGCGGGGAUUCUUAAUUUAGAGAGUCCUCAUUGGUUUAUAUGAUUUAAAUAUCAAGUUCGGUGAUGGUUUUGUUGGUUUAUAUGAUUUAAAUAUCAAGUUUGGUAAUGGUUUGUUUAGAAAGUUUGUUCUUUCUUUUUGGAUUGGUUUGGACAAUGGUAUUAUUUUUUUACGUUUGGAUCAAUUUUUUAUUUAAUUUUAUUUCUAU
Raphanus sativus (radish) is the source of this 1917-nucleotide long non-coding RNA. RefSeq lists it as uncharacterized. The record is from RefSeq and is a predicted model, not a curated record. NCBI's taxonomy places the organism in Eukaryota, Viridiplantae, Streptophyta, Magnoliopsida, Brassicales, Brassicaceae. The transcript is spliced from 6 exons.